GAAAGUUGUAGCAGGACAAUAGUUCUUCAUGGAAAUCUUCAUCCUAGCCACAUGGGAAAUAUGAAAAAAUGCGCAAUGCUCUUAUCUUCGAUGUUGUGUGUCCAAGCAUCAAUCUCUGGACUGUGAAGUUUAGAGAGCAAGCUCUUCUCCAAGAUAUUCAUUUUAGGGAAGAUCGUCAACUUGUUUUUUAUGCAAUGGCUUAACUCAGUGUUGUAAUUCCCCUUUUCUCCCUAUCCUCUCCCACCCUCUCCUAUAAGUAUG
RNAcentral lists this long non-coding RNA (261 nucleotides) under Setaria viridis. Its description in RNAcentral is "long non-coding RNA (SVIR_LNC000396)". The record is from RNAcentral. Lineage: Eukaryota; Viridiplantae; Streptophyta; Magnoliopsida; Poales; Poaceae.